GCGAAAGUAGUUUAACGGGUUUAAAUAUAACUUUGCCAAAGUUAAGAUUAAGGGUUCAAAUCCCUUUUUUCGCU
RNAcentral lists this transfer RNA (74 nucleotides) under Cryptomonas gyropyrenoidosa. RNAcentral's name for it is "tRNA-Gly". It matches the Rfam family "tRNA". Rfam says of the family: Transfer RNA (tRNA) molecules are approximately 80 nucleotides in length. Their secondary structure includes four short double-helical elements and three loops (D, anti-codon, and T loops). The record is from RNAcentral. Lineage: Eukaryota; Cryptophyceae; Cryptomonadales; Cryptomonadaceae.